This 502-nucleotide ribosomal RNA is filed under the name uncultured bacterium. RNAcentral's name for it is "bacterial SSU rRNA". It matches the Rfam family "Bacterial small subunit ribosomal RNA", at positions 28 to 526 of the family's 1533-position model. The record is from RNAcentral.
GAUGAACGCUAGCGGCAGGCCUAACACAUGCAAGUCGAGGGGUAACGUGAGUGCUUGCACUUGACGACGACCGGCGCACGGGUGCGGAACGCGUAUGGAACCUACCUUUAUCAGGGGGAUAGCCCAUGGAAACGUGGAUUAAUACCCCAUAGUAUUACAUCAUUGCAUGAUGAUUUAAUUAAAGAAUUUCGGAUAGAGAUGGCCAUGCGUAUCAUUAGCUAGUAGGCGAGGUAACGGCUCACCUAGGCGACGAUGAUUAGGGGUCCUGAGAGGGAGAUCCCCCACACUGGUACUGAGACACGGACCAGACUCCUACGGGAGGCAGCAGUGAGGAAUAUUGGGCAAUGGAGGCAACUCUGACCCAGCCAUGCCGCGUGCAGGAAGACGGCCCUAUGGGUUGUAAACUGCUUUUAUACAGGAAGAACACCACCCACGUGUGGGUGACUGACGGUACUGUAAGAAUAAGGACCGGCUAACUCCGUGCCAGCCGCCGCCGUAACAC